GGGGAUUUGGCUCAGUGGUAGAGCGCUUGCCUAGCAAGCGCAAGGCCCUGGGUUCGAUCCCCAGCUUCCA
Molecule: transfer RNA, 70 nt
Filed under: Rattus norvegicus (Norway rat)
Lineage: Eukaryota; Metazoa; Chordata; Mammalia; Rodentia; Muridae
Rfam family: tRNA
About the family: Transfer RNA (tRNA) molecules are approximately 80 nucleotides in length. Their secondary structure includes four short double-helical elements and three loops (D, anti-codon, and T loops).
Source: Rfam by way of RNAcentral